This is a long non-coding RNA of Myotis lucifugus (little brown bat), 1710 nucleotides long. RefSeq lists it as uncharacterized. The record is from RefSeq and is a predicted model, not a curated record. Lineage: Eukaryota; Metazoa; Chordata; Mammalia; Chiroptera; Vespertilionidae. The transcript has 2 exons.
GUGUGUGUGUGUGUGUGCGCGCGCGCGCGCGCGCGCGUUUCUCCAGCCGCUGUGUCCGCGGGGACUGCUUUUCUGGGUAUUUCAUUAUUGCAAACAUCUGGCGCCACAGCCUGGCCCGUAGCAGCUGCUUGAUAAAUGAUGCCAGACAAGGAUUCCCCGGACCGACACUCAGCGGCAGCUUCCCAACGCUGAGCCAAAGCGGUGUCAUCCCAGAGGCAGCAGUUGGAACAGGAUUCGCCGCCCUCCUGAGUGUGGCCGGCUCAGCGGGUCCCGGGAGGGGCAAUUCUGCAGGGGGGUUUUGAAUGUCAUUUCUGAGAGCCCGUGCCUCCGUUCCUUCCACUUGUUCUAUAAACACAAAAUCCCUACAUGGGAUCCCUCAACGCUCCAAAAAGCAAGAGUAGUUUCUGCAUUGGAACCGGACGGACACAACCGUAAAUUGUAUCCAUAAUACUUGUCAAUAAGGAAAAUUAAAAACUAAGCAGAAACCGUGAACAAGCAUCGCAGAAGAGAAACAUCCGGUCUAUAAACAUGGAAAGUUGUUCGACCUCCUCAGCUUUCGGGGAAACGGCUGGGGUGACCAGGAGAGAUAGCCCUCCACACCCAGCAGACCCACAGUCUUCAAUGCCAAGUGCUGGUGAGGGUACAAAGCAGCUUUCACACAGUGUUGGAAGGACACGAAUUCAACCGCUUAGAGACACUUUGGAGUCAUUACGAAAACGGGACUUUUAUGCCCGACAACCGGAAGCUUCACUCUAAGUAGCCCUGAAGCAGCAUUUCCCCGCCUUCCUUAGACACGACACACAGAGAAAAACCACAAGAUGUCAUCGCACACGGAGUCCAACGAGGAGGUGGCCCACAGAUAGCGAUGACUGGCCAGGGGCCUGGACACAGCGGGCCGCCACCCGGCCACCCGAAGGGCUGACAAGAACACUAUCCCAGGACGCCCAUCGGUACACCUGUCGGUAGCACCGUCCCGGCAGCCCUUGCACAUGGGCAUCGGAAGACAUGGGCAAGAACGACCAGGGUGGCAAUGUUCACGCUGGCGGAGAAAGGGACACUACCCAGGUGCCUAGCAACAGGAGGAUAUACCAACCAAGUGGUAUAUUCACAUCUGGAGGCCAUGCAGUGCAGACGCAUGAGGCGCAGCCACAAGCAGCAUACAGAUGAGGCCUGGUGCCAGUUACUCACUGGUCGCCUCUCGGCUCCCAUCAACCCGUCUGCCCUGCGUCGCGAUGCAGGAGCUGGGCGCUGUGAAUGCCUCGUUUCCGCCAGCUGCCACGUUGGACCGACUGGUAGACACUGGCUGGACCCUGCAAGAGGAAAAGGCUUGUCUUCCUGGUCCUGGUGCUUUUAUUCUUUCUUCUCCCACAUGCAGCCAGCAGCUGUCUUCCCAGGAAGGCGUGCCAGCACCCAGCAGCUGGUUUCUGCUCUCCAGCCCAGCUGGUGCAGCUCAGCGACCUCCUCUAACACUCAGCAGACCCCGUUCCCCCGCCUCCCCCUCUCCCCACAAUGAGGGCUGGAUUUCAGCCUUGGUUGGGGGAGGGCUCUUCCCAGUUAUUCCGUCUUUGUAUGCUCUUCUCAGCCCUAGAGGUAGUAGCUACUUAUUCAUUGACUAGUCCUAAGGACUUUAAGUUCUCUACUAGCCCUCUUAGUACUUAAGCCUGUUUACUUAUGAAUAAUUCUCUAUAUUAAAUUUUUCUAUAUAAAUUA